CUGCUGCGCAGUAAAAAAAACGUGUAUCCACCAAGUGGGUGUGUCCAGAGAUCCCGUGUUCACAGUCUGAUCCACCAGAUGGCCUUUGGAAUAUUGUGACAAUAGUCCUCUACACUGUGGCUGCGGUUCUUGAAGCUGGCUGCAGAAUUCCCAUCAGAAGACAUUUUUCUAGUCACAGCUUCCCCAGUUAUAAAAGCUGUAACUAAUUUCAAGCAGAAGCCAUGGGACUGUGAGGCAAGAGCGAGCCGCAGGAGCGGCCUCUUCGAGCUCUGGAGUGGAAUGGCGAGGCAAGAGCGAGCUUCGGCAUUGGCGGCUUCGAGCUCAGGAGUGGAGCAGCAAAAAGCCGUGGGACGAUGAGGCAAGAGCGGCAGCGUCUUCGAGCUCACGAGUGGAACGGCGAGGCAAGAGCGAGCUCGGAGCUAAAGAGGGACAUGAGGGGCCCUCUGGGCAAAGGGCUCUUCCCGGCCAGGGCACCUUCAGGGUGCUGCAGCUGGCUUUGCGCGGGGUGACCUCCCUGUGUGCAGGGCUGGUCUUUGCUGUGCUUGGCCUUUUGCCCUUAUGCUCCUUUGGCUGCCCGGAGAGAGGGGCAACCCCGUAAAGGAGGGUGUGAGCCCCUGUCUUUGCAGCGCAGGGGGAAAUGGAGCUCUCCUGGCCCCCAGCCCAGCUACCCUGUAAGCAGGGCAGGGCUUUUCCCCAGCCCCUGCUAUCCGUUCCCUUAGCCGGCUGCUGUCGAUCCUUAGUGAGUGAUCAUGCUCCCAGCCAACUAUCUUGUAUUUUCACACUGUGUUUAUAUUUCCUGGAAGUCUGUAAUCAUCUUCUUAUCUUUCCCCUAACAUCUUCCUAAUGCCAAGCUGCUGUUUUCUUGCUUAUCACCUCCCAGUCACACUAUCCUUGCACAACAUUCCGUCUGCUGCCUUGCUGUUACAAAAUUUGAUAUUUGAGAACGUUUGGAGGAGCCUGCAACUCCUACAUUAUUAAGUGAAUCUCCCUCCAACUUCAGAAACAUUGGCUAAGAUUUCUGGCCUAGGUUCAGCUCCUCUCAGAGGUUUUAAGCAGUGUACUGAAAUGAGACUUGUGAAAAAAAAAUAAAGCAAUGAAGA
Molecule: long non-coding RNA, 1100 nt
Organism: Zonotrichia leucophrys gambelii
Lineage: Eukaryota; Metazoa; Chordata; Aves; Passeriformes; Passerellidae
Exons: 4
Source: RefSeq, a predicted model, not a curated record